This 534-nucleotide ribosomal RNA is filed under the name uncultured bacterium. RNAcentral's name for it is "bacterial SSU rRNA". It matches the Rfam family "Bacterial small subunit ribosomal RNA", at positions 774 to 1304 of the family's 1533-position model. The record is from RNAcentral.
AGUGAAUAGAUACCCGGGUAGUCCACGCCCUAAACGAUGAAUGCUAGUCGUCGGGGAGCUCGUCUCUUCGGUGAUGCACUUAACAGAUUAAGCAUUCCGCCUGGGGAGUACGGUCGCAAGAUUAAAACUCAAAGGAAUAGACGGGGACCCGCACAAGUGGUGGAGCAUGUGGUUUAAUUCGAAGAUACACGAAGAACCUUACCUGGCCUUGACAUGGUAGGAACCCUUAAGAGAUUAGGGGGUGCUAGCUUGCUAGAACCUACACACAGGUGCUGCACGGCUGUCGUCAGCUCGUGUCGUGAGAUGUUGGGUUAAGUCCCGCAACGAGCGCAACCCUCGUCGUUAGUUGCUAACAGUUCGGCUGAGCACUCUAACGAGACUGCCUUCGUAAGGAGGAGGAAGGUGAGGACGACGUCAAGUCAUCAUGGCCCUUACGGCCAGGGCUACACACGUGCUACAACGGGGCGUACAAAGAGCUGCAAUACCGCGAGGUGGAGCCAAUCUCUUAAAGCGUCUCUCAGUUCGGAUUGUUCU